Molecule: ribosomal RNA, 497 nt
Filed under: uncultured bacterium
Lineage: Bacteria
Description: partial 16S ribosomal RNA
Rfam family: Bacterial small subunit ribosomal RNA
Source: RNAcentral
GAUGAACGCUGGCGGCGUGCCUAAUACAUGCAAGUCGAGCGAACAGACGAGGAGCUUGCUCCUCUGACGUUAGCGGCGGACGGGUGAGUAACACGUGGAUAACCUACCUAUAAGACUGGGAUAACUUCGGGAAACCGGAGAUAAUACCGGAUAAUAUAUUGAACCGCAUGGUUCAAUAGUGAAAGACGGUUUUGCUGUCACUUAUAGAUGGUUCCGCGCCGCAUUAGCUAGUUGGUAAGGUAACGGCUUACCAAGGCAACGAUGCGUAGCCGACCUGAGAGGGUGAUCGGCCACACUGGAACUGAGACACGGUCCAGACUCCUACGGGAGGCAGCAGUAGGGAAUCUUCCGCAAUGGGCGAAAGCCUGACGGAGCAACGCCGCGUGAGUGAUGAAGGUCUUCGGAUCGUAAAACUCUGUUAUUAGGGAAGAACAAAUGUGUAAGUAACUAUGCACGUCUUGACGGUACCUAAUCAGAAAGCCACGGCUAACUACGUG